Molecule: ribosomal RNA, 482 nt
Filed under: uncultured bacterium
Lineage: Bacteria
Description: bacterial SSU rRNA
Rfam family: Bacterial small subunit ribosomal RNA
Source: RNAcentral
CGGUACCGGAAUAAGAAGCACCGGCUAACUACGUGCCAGCAGCCGCGGUAAUACGUAGGGUGCGAGCGUUAAUCGGAAUUACUGGGCGUAAAGCGUGCGCAGGCGGACUUUUAAGCCAGAUGUGAAAGCCCCGAGCUUAACUUGGGAAUUGCGUUUGGAACUGGGAGUCUAGAGUCUGUCAGAGGGGGAUGGAAUUCCACGUGUAGCAGUGAAAUGCGUAGAGAUGUGGAGGAACACCGAUGGCGAAGGCAGUCCCCUGGGAUAAGACUGACGCUCAUGCACGAAAGCGUGGGGAGCAAACAGGAUUAGAUACCCUGGUAGUCCACGCCCUAAACGAUGUCUACUAGUUGUUGGGGUAGCAAUACCUCAGUGACGCAGCUAACGCGUGAAGUAGACCGCCUGGGGAGUACGGUCGCAAGAUUAAAACUCAAAGGAAUUGACGGGGGCCGCACAAGCGGUGGAUUAUGUGGAUUAAUUCGAUG